AGCGAACGCUGGCGGCAGGCCUAACGCAUGCAAGUCGAACGGGCUCUUCGGAGCUAGUGGCGGACGGGUGAGUAACACGUGGGAACGUGCCUUUAGGUUCGGAAUAAGCCCGGGAAACUGGGUCUCAUACCGAAUGUGCCCUUCGGGGGAACGAGUUUAUCGCCGUUAGAGCGGCACGCGUCUGAUUAGCUAGUUGGUGAGGUAAUGGCUCACCAAGGCGACGAUCAGUAGCCGGUCUGAGAGGAUGACCAGCCACAUUGGGACUGAGACACGGCCCAAACUCCUACGGGAGGCAGCAGUGGGGAAUCUUGCGCAAUGGGCGAAAGCCUGACGCAGCCAUGCCGCGUGGAUGAUGAAGGUCUUAGGAUUGUAAAAUCCUUUCACCGGUGAAGAUAAUGACUGUAGCCGGAGAAGAAGCCCCGGCUAACUUCGUGCCAGCAGCCGCAGUAA
This 450-nucleotide ribosomal RNA is filed under the name uncultured bacterium. RNAcentral's name for it is "partial 16S ribosomal RNA". It matches the Rfam family "Bacterial small subunit ribosomal RNA", at positions 29 to 523 of the family's 1533-position model. The record is from RNAcentral.